Molecule: long non-coding RNA, 849 nt
Filed under: Neogale vison (American mink)
Lineage: Eukaryota; Metazoa; Chordata; Mammalia; Carnivora; Mustelidae
Description: Neovison vison (American mink) lncRNA (ENSNVIG00000000012.1)
Source: RNAcentral
GGGACACCUUCCUUCAUUGAUGUGGGUUGCAAUUGCUGCUAAAACCUGGGAGUCAAAAGCAACGAGGGGGGUGGGGAGCCGCCAUUUGCAAAACCGGAAAUGAUUAAAAUCUCAGGGUUGAGACCAUUCCCAUUAAGUUAAGGCUUGCCAAGACCACAGUUCCUGCUUCUGUUGUCUACCCUGAAGAGCAUAGAGUAGAGGUUUGUCUACCAUAAGGUUGGCAGUAGAAUCUCUCCAGCUAUUGAAGAGCACAAGGGAAGAGUGAGUCAUUGGCGUGGCCGGCACCGGGGAAGCGCGCUAAUUUGAGAGGUCAGCAGCGAGUCCAGCUCAAUGGCCUAGUCUCGCAGGCUGAGGCUCGGACCCUGCCGGCCUCCGUCCUCUUCCGCUCGCCUCAGGUACAGCCCGGCGGAUCCCUCCGCCGCAGCGUGCGCUCCCGGUAGCGCCGCGAUCGGCUCUUCGGCAAUACCCGGAUGGAAGCGUAAUGGCCGCCAUCAGGGACUCGCAGGCAAUGGGGACCACGACAGAUAUCGUCUCUUUUGAUCACUGUUCCUGAUUGUGGCUUUGUCCAAGCAUUAAAUUGCGUGCCUUUUGUUCCUUGAAGAAGGAGGUACUGGGAUACCACAGUAUCAUAUAAUUCCUCUCACCAAAUACACUGGUGCUAACGAGUCCCAACUCAGCCCCUGGACCCAUCUCAGAACUCUGGAUUCAUUCUCUUCCUUCCCAUACCUCAGCCCAAGCUUUCUAUCUCCUCAAAGGGUACCACAUGAUCUUACGCUCAAGUCCUCACUUUCUAGAAUCUCAAGGUAUGUUCAGGGAGAGAGUGGGCAGAUUUAUGUCCUUUACUUUCUU